RNAcentral lists this ribosomal RNA (254 nucleotides) under uncultured bacterium. RNAcentral's name for it is "partial 16S ribosomal RNA". It matches the Rfam family "Bacterial small subunit ribosomal RNA", at positions 524 to 776 of the family's 1533-position model. The record is from RNAcentral.
UACGUAGGGGGCAAGCGUUGUCCGGAUUUAUUGGGCGUAAAGAGCGUGUAGGCGGUUUGGUAGGUCCGUUGUGAAAACUCGAGGCUCAACCUCGAGACGCCGAUGGAAACCAUCAGACUAGAGUCCGGAAGAGGAGAGUGGAAUUCCUGGUGUAGCGGUGAAAUGCGCAGAGUAUCAGGAAGAACACCCGUGGCUAAGGCGGCUCUCUAGUACGGUACUGACGCUGAGACGCGAAAGCGUGGGGAGCGAACAGG